AGUUGAAACACUGGAUCCCCUACGAACACCGAUGUUAAGCAACGUCGACCCCGGUGUGUACCUAGAUGAGUGACCUCUCCGGAAUACCCGUGCUGUAAG
Acanthosepion pharaonis is the source of this 99-nucleotide non-coding RNA. NCBI's taxonomy places the organism in Eukaryota, Metazoa, Mollusca, Cephalopoda, Sepiida, Sepiidae. The record is from the annotation of a GenBank genome assembly.